UACGUAGGGGGCAAGCGUUGUCCGGAUUUAUUGGGCGUAAAGCGCGUGUAGGUGGCCAAGUAGGUCCGCUGUGAAAACUUGAGGCUCAACCUCAAGCUGUCGGUGGAAACCCCUUGGCUAGAGUCCGGAAGAGGAGAGUGGAAUUCCUGGUGUAGCGGUGAAAUGCGCAGAUAUCAGGAAGAACACCAGUGGCGAAGGCAGCUCUCUGGGACGGUACUGACACUGAGACGCGAAAGCGUGGGGAGCGAACAGG
Molecule: ribosomal RNA, 253 nt
Filed under: uncultured bacterium
Lineage: Bacteria
Description: partial 16S ribosomal RNA
Rfam family: Bacterial small subunit ribosomal RNA
Source: RNAcentral